UACAGAGGUCCCAAGCGUUGUUCGGAUUCACUGGGCGUAAAGGGUGCGUAGGCGGUUGGGUAAGUCUGAUGUGAAAUCUCACAGCUUAACUGUGAAACUGCAUUGGAUACUAUCCGGCUAGAGGAAUGGAGGGGAGACUGGAAUACUUGGUGUAGCAGUGAAAUGCGUAGAUAUCAAGUGGAACACCAGUGGCGAAGGCGAGUCUCUGGACAUUUCCUGACGCUGAGGCACGAAAGCCAGGGGAGCAAACGGG
This 253-nucleotide ribosomal RNA is filed under the name uncultured bacterium. RNAcentral's name for it is "partial 16S ribosomal RNA". It matches the Rfam family "Bacterial small subunit ribosomal RNA", at positions 524 to 776 of the family's 1533-position model. The record is from RNAcentral.